Molecule: long non-coding RNA, 911 nt
Organism: Anguilla rostrata (American eel)
Lineage: Eukaryota; Metazoa; Chordata; Actinopteri; Anguilliformes; Anguillidae
Exons: 2
Source: RefSeq, a predicted model, not a curated record
ACCUUAUGUAGGCCUACAAGACAAAAUAGGUGAUGUGGAAACGCUAAACCAUGACCAUUAAACCAUUCAAAGCACUGUUACAUAAAAUAAGUUUCACUAUUGCAAAAACAAUUUGCACACAAACAUUUCCUCACAUCCUCACGAACUUGCCAUGUUUACACUUACAAAAGGACCAAUUAAUUAAGAGGCACUUAAAACGUACUUCAAAAACGAAUGGCUGUACGGCAGUGGCAAAUAAGCAACCGUUUGGAAAUACACCUUUCGUCACCACAACAACAGACAAGAUCUUUCACGGCGGAAAGCGACAAAUCAUGCGCUUCGAGGUUAACAGUCUCCCUGGUGAGUCCAAUCUGAAGUAGAAAAGAGACUCCGUGAAAAGAGCAGCGGGAGAGCGUGGGGCUCGGAGCGCUCAGGCUACCGUUGGAUAGGCGGCUGUAGAGUGUAGCCGGCGGGCUAGGGGACGGCGAGGGAGUCGGUGGAGCAGCUGGAUGUUGAGAGUUGGAGUACGCUUUUGGUAAGGACGAAGGAGAAGGGCUGCCGGAAGACAUUGGGUUUCUUCCUUAUAUUGAGAUGAUGACAAUGUGAAAAAGUAUUUCUUAUGUGGUGUUGGACUCACUAUAUCAAAAUUUAAAGGAUGCAAUAGCCUAGCUAUUUAGCCCCCAAAAGUGCAUUGGCAGCGCUGUUUACUUGAAUAUGGAAACACGGUGCAUUGAAUGACAAGGGUGGCAACAAAAGAGUCUACAACUGACAGAUAGUAUGUUACACUGUUUCUUUGCAUACAUUUUAGAUACAAAUGUGGGGGUUAAACGUUGCCAAACCGCCUUUUGAUUCCGACAUCAUCCUCGCUCGCAGUUAUUUCCAGUCAUCCGUUGAAAAUUCAAUGACACGUGUACAAACAAACAGUACAAAAA